CAUUAUCAUCCCCACAUCAUGCGAACAAGUCCCACUGUCAAGCAGCUAAAUGCGUAAACAUAAAAUGUAACACGUUAUCAUUGUUCAAAGGCAUACUCUCAGUAAACUUGGAAAACAGUGACAAGUUAUUAGUGUUCCCUAGAGCGUAGGGAGUUGCGCGUUGAACCAUUAAGUCGUAAGUUGCGCCUCUAAACUUGUAACCCAGUGGAAGCCUUAUUACAUGUGUGUGUGCGUGUGUGUAUGCGCUUGCGUGGAUUAUAAAAAAAUUUACACAACACAUAUGGCCAUUCGAAAGCUCAGUUCAAUUGUAAGUUCCACGAUAUACGCGACCACGCACUUUGCACAUUGGUAAUCUUCGGUCAAAGAACAUUUGUCAUUUUUGAUUAAGGCACUAUGAUUUGUUAGUGGUCGAAGAGGAAUAAAAGGAAAUUUUGGGAAUACAACGGUCUCGUAUUACCACGAGACCGUCUUUUCGUAGCAUUGAAGACGUCUCAUUUUAAUAUAUUGCACUCUUUUUUUUUCACUGGAGGACACACUCUUACUGUCACAUUUCUGUGAAUUAACUGUGGCGUGAUAGUGAAGUGAAUAAAGGAUACGGAAUUGACACUUGUUUUGUACGAUCCAAGAUGAGCUCCGAUAUGCAUUAUACACCGCCAACAUCGGACACUAUCCAGACUAAACCAUUCCCCAUAAGAGGUGAACGUGCCAAUUUUGUAAACAAGCCACACGUAAUAGCAAUGGUGGGUUUGCCAGCUCGAGGGAAGACCUACAUAUCAAAAAAGUUGUGCAGAUACCUCAACUGGAUUGGAAUAAACACAAAAGUAUUCAAUCUUGGUGAGUACAGGAGGCACGCGACAACGGCAUAUCAAUGUCACGAAUUUUUUCGUCCUGACAAUAUCAAGGCCAUGGCCAUAAGAACCCAGUGUGCUGUGGAUGCACUGAAUGACGUUUGCCAAUGGCUAGAAAGUGGUGAUGGUGAAGUAGCCGUAUUUGACGCUACAAAUUCGACAAUCGAGCGUCGACAGAUGAUCCACAAUAUUGUCGUUGAAAAAAUGGGCUUCAAAUUAUUUUUCGUGGAGUCUGUCUGUGAUGAUCCUGAAAUCGUUGAGCAGAACAUAAUGGAGGUAAAAGUCAGCAGUCCAGACUAUGCGAAUAUGAAUAAAGAGGAAGUACUUGCAGAUUUUGUCAAAAGAAUUGAGCAUUAUCAAGAGAAAUAUCAGCCCCUGGAUGAGAGUAAAGAGAGUGAAUUGUCAUUUAUGAAGAUUUACAACACAGGGGAGAAAGUACUCGUGUACAAGCACGAGGGCCACAUACAGAGCAGGAUAGUUUAUUACUUAAUGAAUAUACACAUUGUGCCACGAACAAUAUACUUGACGAGACAUGGUGAGAGUGUUAUGAACCUUGAGGGCAGAAUUGGGGGUGAUUCUGAUUUGAGUGAGAGAGGAAAGUUGUACGGAAAGGCAUUGGGACAGUACAUCGAUGAGCAAGAUAUUCAGGGCCUGAGAGUUUGGACAAGUUGGUUGAAGAGAACUAUCCAAACAGCCGCUGAUGUCAAUGCACCGCAGGAGAGGUGGAAGGCACUCAAUGAAAUUGAUGCUGGUAUUUGCGAAGAAAUGACGUACGAAGAGAUAUCCAGUAAAUAUCCAACGGAUUUUGCAGCGCGGGACCAAAAUAAAUUUUCAUACCGUUACCCAAGAGGAGAGAGUUACGAGGAUUUAGUGGCAAGACUCGAGCCCGUUAUAAUGGAACUUGAGAGACAAGGUAACGUUCUUGUUGUCACACACCAAGCUGUGCUGCGAUGUCUACUUGCUUAUUUCCUCGACAAAAGUGCAGAUGAACUUCCCUAUUUGCAAGUACCAUUGCACACUAUUAUGAAAUUAACGCCUGUGGCGUACGGUUGUAAAGUUGAGCGGAUCAGAUUGCCAAUCGAUGCAGUGGAUACACAUCGUCCAAAACCAAAGAAUAGUCAACGUUUUUCUUCGUGGUCAUGCUUCGUUUAGUACCUGUAUUCAUUUGUUAUUUGCUUGUGCUCUCUUUCUCUCUUCAGAUCUUUAAUAGAAUAGUGAUUCCAGGCUAUUUGGACGAACGAUACAGGAGCAAAGGGAGAAAUCUUCACAUCUGAUAACGACAAUUCAUUAAAUAAUUAUCAAUUAUUUCCACUUGUUCUUUCUUUUUCUGUCUGAUUAUGAUUGUCUCUUCGAAUCAUAUCGUUUACUAGAAAAAAAAUUAUAAUAGGAGCAUUUUGUUGAGGCAGCUGGCUGUCCCUAUAAUGAGCUUAUUAAAGUAAUAGUGCCAAAUUAGUUUGUAUUCAAUUACUGACGUAUUUUUAUUGAUUAAAGAGAAGUCGAUAGAGAAAUGGUCAUCAAAAUGUAAUAGUAUAGAUCGUGAUUUUUCCGUAAAAUUGCGAACCAUGUGAUAAAAGUGCUCAAGAGUGAUGAUAAACGAUAGUUAUCCCUUAUUUCAAUGUAAUUGUACUAUCAUUUGAUGGAAUUUUUCGGAUAAUAGCGGAGAUAUUAUUAUUUCCACACGUCUACUCGUCUCGAAUAUUUAAAUCCCCAGUUAAAAAUCCUAGGGAAUCUAUGGAUAAAAACCAAAAACCUUUUCAUAUGAACUGAUUCAAAAAACUUUAAUAAAAUCAACAACUAAUUACGAAAUUAACACUGUCUGCCAUCUGUAUAAAUAAUCCACGUAUGUUCAUUAAAUUAUAGUCAUUUAGACUUUGACAGUUCAUCCCGCGUCGAUUGUCACUUAUUAUAAAAUUUAUCCUGCGUUGAUAAUUCAAUAAAAAUCAUUGCAAUAUAA
Molecule: RNA transcript, 2802 nt
Organism: Diachasmimorpha longicaudata
Lineage: Eukaryota; Metazoa; Arthropoda; Insecta; Hymenoptera; Braconidae
Gene: Pfrx
Gene name: 6-phosphofructo-2-kinase/fructose-2,6-bisphosphatase
Exons: 7
Source: RefSeq, a predicted model, not a curated record